UACGUAGGGUGCGAGCGUUAAUCGGAAUUACUGGGCGUAAAGCGUGCGCAGGCGGUCUGUUAAGACAGAUGUGAAAUCCCCGGGCUUAACCUGGGAACUGCAUUUGUGACUGGCAGGCUAGAGUAUGGCAGAGGGGGGUAGAAUUCCACGGUGUAGCAGUGAAAUGCGUAGAGAUGUGGAGGAAUACCGAUGGCGAAGGCAGCCCCCUGGGCCAAUACUGACGCUCAUGCACGAAAGCGUGGGGAGCAAACAGGG
This 255-nucleotide ribosomal RNA is filed under the name uncultured bacterium. RNAcentral describes it as "partial 16S ribosomal RNA". It matches the Rfam family "Bacterial small subunit ribosomal RNA", at positions 524 to 777 of the family's 1533-position model. The record is from RNAcentral.